RNA transcript from Pipistrellus kuhlii (Kuhl's pipistrelle), 4836 nucleotides. It is a transcript of the gene named glutamate metabotropic receptor 7, with no coding region annotated. The record is from RefSeq and is a predicted model, not a curated record. Lineage: Eukaryota; Metazoa; Chordata; Mammalia; Chiroptera; Vespertilionidae. The transcript is spliced from 13 exons.
GGAGUGGGAGGAGGAGGAGGAGGAGGAGAGGGAGCCGAAGGACCAUUUAAAGCGAUAGCAAUCCGUGCCCUCUCCCCAGUGCUGGGCUGUGGAAGAGCUCCGGCGGCUAGCAGAGAGCGCCCGUGCGGAGCGCCGGCCGGCGAGCCCGAGAGCGCACGGCGCCCGGAGCUGGCAGGCGCCGCGGGACCCCCCACACUCUCCUCCUGCCGCCCCUCCCCGGCUGCCCCCACCCUCGGUGACAGCAGGAGCCUCCUCCGGGCUUUCCCCGAGGAACUCAUCCCACGGAGGAGCCUGGACCCCGGCGAGCCCGCCACCCACCGCACCCUCCAGCGCCGCCGCCGCCGCCGCCGGAGCCGGAGCCGCCGGAGCAGCCGGAGCCGCCGGGGCCGCCGGGGCAGCAGGAGUCGCCCGGGCAGCCGGGGCGCCGGAGCAGCGGGAGCAGCAUGGUCCAGCUCCGGCAGCUGCUCCGCGCCCUGACUUUGAUGAAGUUCCCCUGCUGCGUGCUGGAGGUGCUCCUGUGCGCGCUGGCGGCGGCGGCGCGCGGCCAGGAGAUGUACGCCCCGCACUCGAUCCGGAUCGAGGGGGACGUCACCCUCGGGGGGCUGUUCCCGGUGCACGCCAAGGGCCCCAGCGGGGUGCCCUGCGGCGACAUCAAGAGGGAGAACGGGAUCCACAGGCUGGAGGCGAUGCUCUACGCCCUGGACCAGAUCAACAGCGAUCCCAACCUGCUGCCCAACGUGACCCUGGGCGCGCGGAUCCUGGACACCUGCUCCCGGGACACGUACGCGCUGGAGCAGUCGCUCACGUUCGUGCAGGCGCUCAUCCAGAAGGACACCUCCGACGUGCGCUGCACCAACGGCGAGCCCCCCGUGUUCGUCAGGCCUGAGAAAGUGGUGGGCGUGAUCGGGGCGUCGGGGAGCUCCGUCUCCAUCAUGGUAGCCAACAUCCUGAGGCUGUUCCAGAUACCCCAGAUUAGUUAUGCAUCGACGGCACCUGAAUUAAGUGACGACCGGCGCUAUGACUUCUUCUCCCGCGUGGUCCCACCUGACUCCUUCCAGGCCCAGGCCAUGGUAGACAUUGUGAAGGCCCUCGGCUGGAAUUACGUGUCUACUCUCGCAUCCGAAGGAAGUUACGGAGAGAAAGGUGUGGAAUCCUUCAUGCAGAUUUCCAAAGAGGCAGGUGGGCUCUGCAUUGCCCAGUCGGUGAGAAUCCCCCAGGAGCGCAAAGAUAGGACCAUCGACUUCGAUAAGAUUAUCAAACAGCUCCUGGACACCCCCAACUCCAGGGCCGUCGUGAUUUUUGCCAACGAUGAGGAUAUAAAGCAGAUCCUUGCAGCAGCCAAAAGAGCUGACCAAGUGGGCCACUUUCUUUGGGUGGGCUCAGACAGCUGGGGAUCCAAAAUAAACCCACUGUACCAACACGAAGACAUCGCAGAAGGAGCCAUCACCAUUCAGCCCAAGAGAGCAACCGUGGAAGGGUUUGAUGCCUAUUUUACAACCCGCACACUUGAAAACAACAGAAGAAACGUCUGGUUUGCUGAAUACUGGGAGGAAAACUUCAACUGCAAGCUGACGAUUAGUGGGUCAAAGAAAGAAGACACAGAUCGCAAAUGCACAGGACAGGAGAGAAUUGGAAAAGAUUCCAACUAUGAGCAGGAGGGGAAAGUUCAGUUCGUGAUUGACGCAGUCUACGCGAUGGCUCAUGCCCUACAUCACAUGAACAAGGAUCUCUGUGCGGACUACCGGGGCGUCUGUCCGGAGAUGGAGCAAGCUGGGGGCAAGAAGUUGUUGAAGUACAUCCGCAACGUUAAUUUCAAUGGGAGUGCUGGCACCCCGGUCAUGUUUAACAAGAAUGGAGAUGCCCCGGGGCGGUACGACAUCUUUCAGUACCAGACAACCAACACCACAACCCCCGGCUACCGUCUGAUUGGACAGUGGACAGAUGAACUUCAGCUCAACAUCGAGGACAUGCAGUGGGGCAAAGGGGUCCGGGAGAUCCCCCACUCUGUGUGCACCCUGCCCUGCAAGCCUGGCCAGAGGAAGAAGACGCAGAAGGGCACGCCCUGCUGCUGGACCUGCGAGCCCUGCGACGGCUACCAGUUCCAGUUCGACGAGAACACGUGCCAGCACUGCCCGUACGACCAGCGGCCCAACGAGAACCGGACCGGCUGCCAGGACAUCCCCAUCAUCAAGCUGGAGUGGCACUCGCCCUGGGCCGUGAUCCCCGUCUUCCUGGCCAUGCUGGGCAUCGUCGCCACCAUCUUCGUCAUGGCCACGUUCAUCCGCUACAACGACACGCCCAUUGUCCGGGCGUCCGGCCGGGAGCUCAGCUACGUUCUGCUGACGGGCAUCUUCCUCUGCUACAUCAUCACGUUCCUGAUGAUCGCCAAGCCCGACGUGGCGGUGUGCUCCUUCCGGAGGGUGUUCCUGGGCCUGGGGAUGUGCAUCAGUUACGCGGCCCUCCUGACCAAGACCAACCGGAUUUACCGCAUAUUCGAGCAGGGCAAGAAGUCCGUGACGGCUCCCAGGCUCAUCAGCCCGUCGUCGCAGCUGGCCAUCACUUCGAGCCUGAUAUCGGUCCAGCUUCUGGGCGUCUUCAUCUGGUUUGGUGUGGACCCGCCCAACAUCAUCGUAGACUAUGACGAGCAUAAGACCAUGAACCCCGAGCUGGCCAGGGGAGUGCUCAAAUGUGACAUCACAGACCUGCAGAUCAUUUGCUCCUUGGGAUAUAGCAUCCUCCUCAUGGUCACGUGUACUGUGUACGCCAUCAAGACUCGGGGUGUCCCCGAGAACUUUAACGAAGCCAAGCCCAUUGGGUUCACGAUGUACACGACGUGUAUAGUGUGGCUUGCCUUCAUCCCCAUUUUUUUUGGCACCGCGCAGUCGGCGGAAAAGCUCUACAUACAAACCACCACGCUUACAAUCUCCAUGAACCUAAGUGCGUCAGUGGCGCUGGGGAUGCUAUACAUGCCGAAAGUGUACAUCAUCAUUUUCCACCCUGAACUCAAUGUCCAGAAACGGAAGCGAAGCUUCAAGGCAGUAGUCACAGCAGCUACCAUGUCAUCACGGCUGUCACACAAACCUAGUGACAGACCCAACGGUGAGGCAAAGACAGAACUCUGUGAAAACGUAGAUCCAAACAACUGUAUACCACCAGUAAGAAAGAGUGUACAAAAGUCUGUUACUUGGUACACUAUCCCACCAACAGUAUAGCUUUUGCCUGCUUUCCAAAAGGCCCCAAACAUCAUUUUCAUUUUUAAAGAAACAGUGUGUGUCCUAAACCAAGGUCAGUUAAUCUCCACAGUCUUCCCUCCUCCCAAUUUCUGUGAAUGAGCAUCUUCUCUGGACUCAAGUGAUGGUGACUUGUUUCUGCCUCCUAAGGACAAGGCUCAGCUUCGAGGAUUUGUUUUCCUAUCUUUUCUUUUUUCUUUUUCUUUUUUUUUUUUUGGCUGUGCAAUGGAACUUGGAUGCAUUUUAAAAUAACUUUCUCUAGGAAUCAAAGGGUAAUCCCAGAGUACCCCAGCUUGCACCAAGAGGCCCGAGGAGGAUACAUCUCCAAAGCCUGAUCUUGCUGAGCUGACCCAAGCAAUCAGAAGAACAUGACAGGAAUCACCCAUCCCACUUGCUGCCCUGCUGCAAAAAAGAAGUAUGUCAGUUAUAACAACCUGGUGAUCUAAGCUGUUCCAUUCCUUGGAACCACGGAGGAGGAAGACCCUCAGUUAUUUCGUCAUCCAACCCGGCACAGGACUCUUUUGGUCCUGCCCGCUGCCCAUCACCGGAGGAGCAUCCUCAGCCGGAAGACCAAUCAAUAUUAGAGGAUCCAAGUGUCCAACACAGCUGCUUUAUGAAAUAUUCCUACUUUAUCUUGGCUUAAUAAGUCACUGGCAUCAGCACUGCCAACUUGGCUGCAGUUUUGGACCUUCCCUGCGGAAGGGAGUGUUGAAACUCAAGUCCCACCCAGGCUCUCUAGGAUGAACUGCCAAGAGCCGCCAUGACUGUUCUCGGGGCUGACCUGUCUCUUUCUACGUAUGUACACCCAGGUUGCAAGGUUUUGAAAUUUUCUGUACAGAUUGUGAGGACUUUUGCACUUUGCCAUCCGAUGUUGUACCUCGGUUCACCGUUUGUUUUCGAAUGCCCUGUUUUCAUAGCGCCCUAUUCUCUCAGACGGCAAGAUAUUUGGGGAAAUUUUAAAACAAAAAUUUUAAAAAAGAUCUCGGCGGACUAAAAUCUAUAUUUAAACCACACACACACACACACACACACACACACACACACACACGACUGUAUAAUUAUGAGUAUAGUACCGUUGCAAAUCAUGUUAUUUUUUUUAAGACAAAAAGAUACUUAAAGACCAAUAACUGUGCUGAUAUAGUAGGUCCCACCUAUCUGUCGAUAGGUCACACAAAAGGAAGGUAUAGGCUGAACUGAAUAGAGGUCUUGAUGUUCGGAAUGCAUGCCGGUAAUGUAUUUUACAGUACAUGUUAAUACUAUGUUCGAUAUUUGUAUUUGUGUUCUUCUCCUGUUAUUUUAUUUAGGGUAUCUGGAUAUUUUGCAGUAAUUUUAAUAAUGCUCAAGCUCUUUGAAGAAAAGAAUAUGGAUUUUUCAUGUCUUGAGGUUUUGUUCUUGCCCCCCUAUGACUGACUGGUGUGAUAAGGACUUUUAAAAAAAAGCAUGUAUGUUUUCUACUGUUUGUAAUAAGUACUUUCGUUAAUCUUGCUGCUUAUGUGCCAAUUUAGUGGAGAAAUUCCUUGCUGAGAAAUUCCUUCUUUCCAUUCUCUUUCAAUUCUGUGAUAUUGUCCAAGAAUGUAUCAAUAAAAUACUUUGGUUAACUUUUGUA